CAGCCGCCGCGGGAACACGGAGGGUGCAAGCGUUAAUCGGAAUUACUGGGCGUAAAGCGUGCGUAGGUGGUGGUUUAAGUCCGUUGUGAAAGCCCUGGGCUCAACCUGGGAAUUGCAGUGGAUACUGGGUCACUAGAGUGUGGUAGAGGAUAGUGGAAUUUCCGGUGUAGCAGUGAAAUGCGUAGAGAUCGGAAGGAACAUCUGUGGCGAAGGCGACUAUCUGGGCCAACACUGACACUGAGGCACGAAAGCGUGGGGAGCAAACAGGAUUAGAUACCCCUGUAGUCCCUGUCUCUUAUAC
RNAcentral lists this ribosomal RNA (301 nucleotides) under uncultured bacterium. RNAcentral describes it as "partial 16S ribosomal RNA". It matches the Rfam family "Bacterial small subunit ribosomal RNA", at positions 509 to 807 of the family's 1533-position model. The record is from RNAcentral.